This 254-nucleotide ribosomal RNA is filed under the name uncultured bacterium. RNAcentral describes it as "partial 16S ribosomal RNA". It matches the Rfam family "Bacterial small subunit ribosomal RNA", at positions 524 to 776 of the family's 1533-position model. The record is from RNAcentral.
GACAGAGGUGCCGAGCGUUAGGCGGAAUUACUGGGCGUAAAGCGCGUGUAGGCGGGUCCUUAAGUCAGGGGUGAAAUGCCAAGGCUCAACCUUGGAACUGCCUUUGAUACUGGGGAUCUUGAGUCCGGGAGAGGUGAGUGGAACUGCGAGUGUAGAGGUGAAAUUCGUAGAUAUUCGCAAGAACACCAGUGGCGAAGGCGGCUCACUGGCCCGGUACUGACGCUGAGAUGCGAAAAGCGUGGGGAGCAAACAGG